AGGUUUUGCAGAUUCCAUUCGCCUACUUUUAUUUCUAGAUGCAUAUAGAGGACGACAAGACAAAGAAGGU
Molecule: small RNA, 70 nt
Filed under: Arabidopsis thaliana (thale cress)
Lineage: Eukaryota; Viridiplantae; Streptophyta; Magnoliopsida; Brassicales; Brassicaceae
Description: ATSL252920
Source: RNAcentral